GGCUCGGCUGCUCGCUUGGGGAGGGCACGGCGGGCAAGGGCGGGACUGGCCCGCUGCGGGAGGACUGGGGAGCCGCGGAGAUAACGGGUCCAGACGCUGGCGGCGGCGGCGGCUUUCUCUGCACUGGCGGAGGCGGCAGCAGGAGCGGCGAGUAUGGCCCGCGCGGCGCUCGGCGCUGACUGAGAGUCAUGCUGCGGCAGCCUGGUGCCUGACGAGUGAGGGGAACCUGCCAAGGGAUUACUGCUAGCUCAAGGCAGGACAGAGGCCUCAAGGGAGCGGAGAUGGGCAGAGCAGCCUCCAAGCCUGGGCCAGCAGCACCAAGACGGAGGCCUGGGCCCUGGCCUGGAGCUCGGCUCACACUCGCUCGGCUGACCCUGAUGGCGUUCGAAGCAACACCCUGCUGAGAAGCGGCUGUUCCCAGGCCCCAGAGGACCUCAGAGCAGGAGCUGGAGUUUGACCACCCCUACACAACUGCAGUUGGGGCUGCAACCGUCGGGGGAAGGGGCUGGCGCCUCGGAUGGGAAGUAGAAGGGCAGAACCUAACGCCAGGAGGAUCUUGGUCUCUGAAGAGUUUUCUGGAACACACGGAGCUUCCUGGGUUUCUUCUCUCUGGAUUGGGGCUUGGUUCCCUCUCCUCCCCUGGCAGAGGGCUUGGGCCCUGAGGGCCAACUGAGAGAGGGAAGACUCUUAAAUGAAAUUCAGGCUGCCUGAAGCCCACGUGCUCUCUGCUAUGAUUGGGGUUCAAGAGCUUCCCUGCUGCAGGGGACGAGGGGCCGCCUCGGCAUCUGCUCAUGAGCCACAAGGACCCCGAAUGCUCCAGACUGGAUCGUUUCAAGCCGCCAAAGAGGGGGACCCCCACAGCUGGCAGCCAGCAACCCCAAGGGACUAGAGGGCUGGGAUGGACUGACCUCCCCCUUGCCAGGGCUCUGGGAGAAGCAGAGCCUCUGUGGCCCAGCUAGUGACGGAGAGACCCAAUGAAGCCAUAAGCAGGGCCAGGCGGCUCAGGGACAGGGGAGCCACUGCUGCCGACGUGCUUUCUCCUGACGCUGAGGGAGGGCGCAGUGUGGGACCUCUGCCCCGUCCCCUCCCUGGCACUUGCCCAUAUGCCCUUUGCGCGUGGUGCCAGAACAAGCAGGCUACGCUGUGGCUGGCCCGUCAGCGGGCUGGGAAAGGAGUGGCCACGGUGACACCUGCCUGACUGCCGGGCUGAGGCCCCAGCUCCCCGGGGCACCGAACCAUGAAGUGCUCCCUGCGGGUGUGGUUCCUCUCCGCGGCCUUCCUGCUGGUGUUCAUCAUGUCACUGCUGUUCACCUACUCCCACCACAGCAUGGCCACCCUGCCCUACCUGGACUCGGGCGCCCUGGACGGGACCCACCGGGUGAAGCUGGUGCCCGGCUACACCGGCCUUCAGCGCCUCAGCAAGGAGGGGCCCGCCGGCAAGAGCUGUGCCUGUCGCCGCUGCAUGGGCGACGCCGGCGCCUCUGAGUGGUUUGAUAGCCACUUCAACAGCAACAUUUCCCCGGUCUGGACCCGGGAGAACAUGGACCUGCCCCCAGAGGUCCAGAGGUGGUGGAUGAUGUUGCAGCCUCAGUUCAAGUCACACAACACCAACGAGGUGCUGGAGAAGCUGUUCCAGAUAGUACCAGGCGAGAACCCCUACCGUUUCCGGGACCCCCGCCGGUGCCGGCGCUGUGCUGUGGUGGGGAACUCGGGCAACCUGCGGGGCUCUGGCUACGGGCCGGAUGUGGACGGGCACAACUUUAUCAUGAGGAUGAAUCAGGCGCCAACCGUGGGCUUUGAGCAGGAUGUCGGCAGCCGAACCACCCACCAUUUCAUGUACCCCGAGAGUGCCAAGAACCUGCCCGCCAACGUCAGCUUCGUGCUGGUGCCCUUCAAAGCCCUGGACCUACUGUGGAUCGCCAGCGCCCUGUCCACAGGGCAGAUCCGAUUCACCUAUGCCCCAGUGAAGUCCUUCCUUCGAGUGGACAAAGAAAAGGUCCAGAUCUACAACCCAGCCUUCUUCAAGUACAUCCACGACAGGUGGACAGAGCAUCACGGGCGGUACCCUUCCACGGGGAUGCUGGUACUCUUCUUUGCUCUGCAUGUGUGUGAUGAGGUGAACGUGUACGGGUUCGGGGCCGACAGCCGGGGCAACUGGCACCACUACUGGGAGAAUAACCGGUACGCGGGCGAGUUCCGGAAGACAGGCGUGCAUGACGCCGACUUCGAGGCCCACAUCAUCGACAUGCUGGCCAAGGCCAGCAAGAUCGAGGUCUACCGAGGGAACUGAGCCCGACCCAGCCGUGACUCUUCCGGCCCUUCCGCGAAGCGCUGGCAAGCGCUCCAGCCGGGUCUGAGAGUCAGCCCGGGGGUGGUGGCCUAAGCGCGGGCGCGGCGCUCUAUUGGGCGUCAGCAGGCAAUCGGGAGCGACGCCGCCGCAGUCUGGACCAAUCAUGCUUCAGUCUAGCGAGCGCCGGCUAUCCUCCGCCAAUCACGAGACUCUGGGCGCUGGCUGGGCCUAGCAUCAAUCAGCGCUGCCGACGGCCGGAGCCUCUGUUUCUCACAGCCAAUCAUGCGACUCAAGGAGAACUUCCGGCGCUGGGGCCCGUCUCCUCCAAUCAAUGGCCUUCGGAGGCGGGCCGGCGGCCGAUCAAUCCCCACUCCCGUAUGCUUUUGGGUAGGAUUUUAUCGAUAUUUCACGCUUUCAAAGGAGCAGAAGUUUGUUCCGGCCCCGAGAAGUACUUUCCUCAGGCUCGGGCGGAGGCGGCUCAGUCGCCGGCCGGUCUGACCCCGCAGGGGGCGUGGAGGAGGAAACGGUGGGGAAGAUGGUGAGUGAAUGAAACGAGGAAGAAGUCACCCACCCUUCCAUAACUCAAUUUGGAUGGCAGCACCAAUCUCUGCAAAUCCUGCUGGAAUGUGCCACAGGGAAGGAACCUGGUCCCCCAGCAUGAAGUGGAGCUGGCCGAGAGGGAGGGCGCAGGGCCACACCCUCCAGUGGAGCUCCUCCCCCCCGGGCCUCCUCCUGCUGCCGCUGCUACUCACAUGGCAGAAGAUCAUGGCUUGAGCAAUGGUGAUGGCCCCGUAGAUAUUACACAAGGCCUGGAACUUCUCAUCUCUGCUAUUGCACAGGACGUAAUACUGCUUGAUGGUGUCCAGUGUCUCCUCCUCGCGCUUCAAUUUGAUGAUGUUUGGGUCUGGGACCACUUUCUGGGCAAAUUUCCAGACAGAGUCUUCGAAGGUGGCAGAGAAAAGCAGCAUCUGGCAGUUCCUGGGAAGCAUCCUGCAAGGGAAGGCCCAGGUGUUCGACAUGACCCCGACCCAGUGUUUCACUGCAAGGAACAGAAGCACAGCCUCCCCAGGCUUGGAUGACCUGCGUCCCCAGGAAGGUGGCAAAGCAGGGAGGAGCACUGCAGGGAGGAGGGAGGAGCAGACGUGGGGCAGGGACGGCUGGUGGUAGAGUCCCUAAGUCUCCUUCCUCAACCCAGGCUGGGGGUAUGGUCAGUGCGACAUGGAAAUGGCCCACCAAACAAACGCCUCUGAAAGCUGCAGAGUAAAGAACUGGCAGGGGCAAGACGAGGGUGAAGUAAAAGGAGACGAUGCUGCAGAUCAGGAGGCCGAGAAGCUCCUCCUGGCUCAGGAGUUCCUACCUCUGGAUGCGGAUGCUCUGAUCUUGGUGGCCCUGAGUAGCUAUCAUCACGUCAGCCUCAUCCAGAACAAACACCUUGAUCUUCUUGGGGUCAAUGAACUUGAGCUUGGAGCACCAGUCCAGAACGGUCCCAGGGGUGCCAAUGACAAUGUGCUCACUGAUCUUCUGACCUCUUUCCACUGUGGAGACAAGAUGUGUUCUGUAAUGCCAACUGCUUCUGGAAGUCAGUGUGCCAAUGUAUACUCCCCACUGGAGCACGUGAGCCUUCCAGUUCUUCUCCAUCUUGGUCAACACUUGGUUUGCCAGACUUCCUCAUUUCUACCAUCUGAGAGGCAUACAGUGGUUUCACUUGAUGUUUCCCUGAUGACUAAUGAAGCUUAUCAUCUUUUCACGUUUACUAGCCAUCUGAAUUCCUUCUUUUGUGAAGCGUCUGUUCAACUGGGCCUCUCUUGUCCAUUCUCCUAUUGGAAUGCUUACUUUUUUCUAAUUGAUUUGUAGUUUUUUAUAUUCUGAUAACUUCUCCAUUACCCAUUUUCUACCUGCCCCUCCUCCCAUGUAACCCAUAUUUUCUACAUUCUACAGAACACAUGAGAAAAGAAUUGGUGGAAGGAUUUCUGAUUUGGAUGGGGUUACGGAGAUGUUCCUGGUAUUGCUUCUGAUAUUUUUUGCAGUUUUUAUUAAGUGGAAAAGGCAGAAACUGUACUGAAUUGCAUCUGACUCUCUCUGCACCUCUCUAAGCUGUUCCCCUGAAGAAGCACGUUGCUCUCAACGGCCCAUCUUGUGCUCAGGAACACUACAGCUCUUGGUGGAAGACAUUUAACCCAGUUCUGAAGAGGUGUGCCAGGGUCCAUAUACUUACGGCUCAGCAAGCAUCAUGGAUGCUCCACUGAACCACAGUCAUUUUGUGUUCCAUGGACCUUCCAAAGCCAGCUGUGCAAGAACUCGGGACAAUUGAGAGGGCCCACGAAUCGGUGGCCAUGGUCCCGGAGGAGGAAGGCCGACUGGCGAAAAACACAACCGCACGAACAGCAGCACCAGCCCUCAACUCUGCAGGCGCAGGAACCACACUCACUCGGACCGGAAGCGGCGAUGCGCGAAGGUGACGUCAGUUUCCGUCCGGGGCGAGACGUCACCGUCCGCGCGGCGCCACGCAGGGCCUAACAUCGGGCUUCGCUUCCACUCGUCGUGCCCCGCUUCCUCUCGUCGUGCCCAUACCCGCUUCUUCUGCGGACUUCCCCGGGAGCCACCUCAUCGUGCCUGGAAAUCCAUCAAAGAAGUAGAAAAGAAGAAUAAGUGAUUAACAGAUGACCAGAUCUCUUCCCUAGCUUCCCCUUCAGUAAUCUCCCAAAUAAACUCUGUGACCGAACUGUGUGAACACGAUCACAUCUCGAGGAAGAUCACAAGAAGCUGAGGAGCCUGCACACAGUGGGGGAUGGCGACGACCCAUCUCAAUGAUUAACUGAGAUUACUUCCCUCCUUCCCUUUAAAAGUUUCAUGAGCAGAAUCUUUGGAGGUGGUUUUUGGGGUACGUUGAGUCCACCAUCUCCCCAGAUUGCUGGCAUUCUGAUUAAAGGCACUUUUCCUUUUUA
Lagenorhynchus albirostris (white-beaked dolphin) is the source of this 5235-nucleotide RNA transcript. It is a transcript of the gene named ST3 beta-galactoside alpha-2,3-sialyltransferase 2, with no coding region annotated. The transcript is spliced from 15 exons. Lineage: Eukaryota; Metazoa; Chordata; Mammalia; Artiodactyla; Delphinidae. The record is from RefSeq and is a predicted model, not a curated record.